RNAcentral lists this unclassified non-coding RNA (335 nucleotides) under soil metagenome. RNAcentral's name for it is "partial contains 5.8S ribosomal RNA, internal transcribed spacer 2, and large subunit ribosomal RNA". The stretch from base 1 to 120 matches the Rfam family "5.8S ribosomal RNA", at positions 35 to 154 of the family's 154-position model. The record is from RNAcentral.
GAUGAAGAACGCAGCGAAAUGCGAUAAGUAAUGUGAAUUGCAGAAUUCAGUGAAUCAUCGAAUCUUUGAACGCACAUUGCGCCCGCCAGUAUUCUGGCGGGCAUGCCUGUUCGAGCGUCAUUUCAACCAUCAAGCCCCCGGCUUGUGUUGGGGACCUGCGGCUGCCGCAGGCCCUGAAAGCCAGUGGCGGGCUCGCUAGUCACUCCGAGCGUAGUAAUACAUCUCGCUCAGGGCGUGCUGCGGGUUCCGGCCGUUAAAAAGCCUUAUUUACCCAAGGUUGACCUCGGAUCAGGUAGGAAGACCCGCUGAACUUAAGCAUAUCAAUAAGCGGAGGA